This 460-nucleotide ribosomal RNA is filed under the name uncultured bacterium. Its description in RNAcentral is "partial 16S ribosomal RNA". It matches the Rfam family "Bacterial small subunit ribosomal RNA", at positions 338 to 795 of the family's 1533-position model. The record is from RNAcentral.
CCUACGGGAGGCAGCAGUGAGGAAUAUUGGUCAAUGGACGAGAGUCUGAACCAGCCAAGUAGCGUGAAGGAUGACUGCCCUAUGGGUUGUAAACUUCUUUUAUAUGGGAAUAAAACGUUCCACGUGUGGGAUUUUGUAUGUACCAUAUGAAUAAGGCUCGGCUAACUCCGUGCCAGCAGCCGCGGUAAUACGGAGGAUCCGAGCGUUAUCCGGAUUUAUUGGGUUUAAAGGGAGCGUAGGUGGAUUGUUAAGUCAGUUGUGAAAGUUUGCGGCUCAACCGUAAAAUUGCAGUUGAAACUGGCAGUCUUGAGUACAGUAGAGGUGGGCGGAAUUCGUGGUGUAGCGGUGAAAUGCUUAGAUAUCACGAAGAACUCCGAUUGCGAAGGCAGUUCACUGGACUGCAACUGACACUGAGGCUCGAAAGUGUGGGUAUCAAACAGGAUUAGAUACCCUUGUAGUC